RNAcentral lists this ribosomal RNA (665 nucleotides) under Dermatophagoides pteronyssinus (European house dust mite). RNAcentral describes it as "s-rRNA". Lineage: Eukaryota; Metazoa; Arthropoda; Arachnida; Sarcoptiformes; Pyroglyphidae. The record is from RNAcentral.
GGGUUGGAUGAAAGCCUAUAUUUUGUUUAUUUUAAUUCUUUAUGGGAAUGUUUUAUUUAUAUUUUCCAAUAGUUGGGUUUUUAUAAAAAUUGUUAAAGGGUUAGAAGACUAAGUUUGUGCCAGCAGUCGCGGUCAUACUCUAUUCUUUAAAUUUUGUUUCUUUAUAAGGUUGAUUUUUUAUUUUACCCUUAAGGGUGAAAUUUUAAGGUUUUAUUUUUAGAAGUCUAUAAAAGGUAACUGUAACUAAGAAUAGGAUUAGAUACCCUAGUAUUUUAGGGUUAUUAUUAAGUAGUAGAUAAUUUUUAUUAAACUUAAUUUUUCUGGCGGUUUAUUACCCAUUCACAGGAAUUUGUUAAUUUUAAAAGAUAACCCGCCUUUAUUAUAACCAAUCUAAAUUUUAUGUACGGCUGUUAGGCUUUAAUUUAAUUAUUUUUGCUUUAAGAUUUAAUCCCUUAAUUCAGGUCUAUGUGUAGAAGAUAAAUUGGUUUUUAAUGAGUUACUAUAAUAGGGGAAUUUUUUUAUAUAAAUAAUUUAAUUUGGAUGUGAAAGUAAAAUAGAUAUUAAAAUUUCUAUUUGAAGAAGGACCUAAUAAAAGUACAUAUCGCCCGUCACUCUUUUGAUAGAUAAGUCGUAACAAAGUAGGAGUACUGGAAAGUGCUUCUUGU